RNAcentral lists this long non-coding RNA (6906 nucleotides) under Sorghum bicolor (sorghum). Its description in RNAcentral is "long non-coding RNA (SBIC_LNC001996)". Lineage: Eukaryota; Viridiplantae; Streptophyta; Magnoliopsida; Poales; Poaceae. The record is from RNAcentral.
GGAAUCAAAACAGUAAGUAGUAUAUUAUAUAAUACUGGAUAAACUCUUGUUACAAAGAAGUUAACAUAUGUGAUUUUAGAUCACUGUGGAAGGACCUAUAGCAGUUCCUAUACAUGGCACAUGUGCAAAGGUAGGUAUACAUAGUUGAGUAUAGGCGCUUCACAUAAUAUACACUGGGACAAUAGCAUUUGAAAUUUCAUAAGCGGGCUGCCAUGUCUAGUUCAGAAGGCAUCGUCACAUACACAGGUUCAACCUAUCAAGUUGAACCGCAAGUUGUUCUAUGCACUGAGUAUGACCCUGUUCAUGUUGCAAAUGCAGGACCGAUCUUGCUGCUCCAUUCUAUAGCAGUAGGAAAAGGGUUAGCAGCCUAAUGAGUAUGCAAGGUACAUGUCAAAUAUGUUGCAGUAUGAAGAAAAGGGUUAGUGUCAUAGGGAGUAAAAGCAAAUUAAGGCAGGAAAAAAGGCAAAGAACCAAAGUUUCGCGUGUUUCCAAAGGGAAAGGAAAAAGAAAACAAAAAAUAUCUGAGAUAGAAAUAGUGGAUUUAAUGAAAAUAACAUAUCUAUAGGCACAGAUCUAUGCAAGCAGAAGGAGCAUAGGGACAUAGGCAGCAUGAAUAUAGUUGUGCACAUACAAGCUGCUAAUACUACAUGUUUUUAACUUUCCUUAUUUAUGUCAUGUAUACAUGGCAAAACUGAUAUUGAGUGUUUACAUUCCACUAUAAUACAUUAUAUUUUGAGGCAGAUAAGGAGUAUUCAUGUUAAAUAUAGUACCCGUGGGGUGUUCAUCUUUCGUCAUGUGUAUGGAAGGUCAUGUGGGUACAGGUAUGCUAAAAUUCAGUACAAAGAAAAAUAAGAUGGCAGCAUAGGCAUGUACUUACCGAAAGAUGACAUUAUAAAGGACAGCUUGCUGAACCAAUCUGAUGCGGAGACCGCAUGUGUAGGCAUGACACGAAUGAGAACAUGAGAGGACAAAGAAAAUGUAUUUCCUGAAGGCAUUUGAAGACACCCAUCAUUUUAAGAAUAGAAAGUUAGAAGCAAUAUGCCAUCUCAAAUAUGCAAAACAGAACAACUUAGAUCACUGUGAACUGAAAUGGAUAGAUCGACACCAUGUAGUCAAAUGCUGAGCCUCGUGGCUUUGAUAAGAAAUAAAUAAAUCUACUGGGUGGACCAUUAGAAAAAACAAUGAUGAAAUUCACUUGAUAGAAAUCUAAAAUAAAAGCACACAUAUGCCACACUAAAAGCAUAGGUAUGGAUCUGAUUACCUCAGCAAAUUAGCACAAACACGAUGAAAUUUUAUAGCUUGAACACUGAUACAAAAUCGUUUGAUCCACUGAAAGAACCUGGAAAGUAUUAGCUUCAUACAUCAACCAUAAAUAUAAAGUGGCAAAGGAAUCGACACUAAUGAAUGCAUAUAGUAUAUUUCUAUUUUCUAAUUGACAUGCAUCGUAUAUCUACUUGAACCUUCAUGACACAGUUGCUGGAACAAUUCAGAACCCAGCAAAUCAGAACAGUCUGUGUCAUGAAGAAAACACCAUAUUCAUUUAUGAAUCCGGCAUCGUCUUGACAUCUGAGACAACUGAAAAUAAAACUGAACCCAAAAAGUUGGUUGAUGUAUGUUCUACUGUAGUUGGCUAGUUAAAAGCAAUUUUUUUAGUCUGCAUAUGUUCCUUCAUGUAGUCGCAUUGUAAUACAUGAUAUAUCAUAGUCCCUGCAAUUACAAUGGAACUACAUGAAGGAACAAAAUGGAUUAUAUUAGAAGCAAAAUUAAACAAACUUCAGGAGUCUAAUAUCUAUAUUUUUUUACCAUCCCAGUUUAGCAGCCUAAGCCAUGACCUCAUGAACAAACUUGAGAUAUAUACUCUGUAUGAAUGAUUUAAUCUUAAAAUUUCUUUUUAGAUAAGGAGCUUGAUAAACUGAAUUUGGAGCAGCACCUAUGUAUUAUUUUGUUAUGGAGUGUACUAUGCUUCUUCUGUAUAAGCUAUACCGAUAUUAAACUCAGUAUCCCUGCAAUCUAGAAGCUAUACCAAGUAGGUAAGAACAAACUUAUGUAACAAAAUGCACACCGGAAUAACAAUUGUACUUCUGAAUGCACGUCAGAAUGAUAAUUGUACUCUUGGAGUAGUGAUGCCGUGAUGGUGUCCAGAUUGAAGCCUGGUUGCUGAUCCGCGGUGUUGUGUCGAGGAGGCGGCAAGCCUGCCGGCGCACCGCCCACGGAGGACGGCGUCACUACGCUCGCUGCCGCCUCGGGAGAGACCGAGGGCGAGAAAGUGAAUGUUUUUUUUUUUUGCAAGGAGGGGGAGCUGCGAGAUAUUUAAGUGGAGAGAUAUGGUUGGGUUUUUUUUGGCGAUGUCGCCCAGCGAUGGCCAAGCGAAGGAAAUCAAGCUGUGUACAGUUAAGAGUAGAGAACACUAUUAGCCAUGGCUGAAGCUACUUUGACAUAUCUUAAACACUAAAUGGCAAUACCUCAAACAGUUAAUUAGGAAACAUGCGAGUUAUAGUACAUCGAAAUUGCUAUGACAUUUUUACUUUUAGGAAAUGAUAUUUGACAAAACCCAAUUUCAAAGAAUGUAUAAGCAUAUCACCAGGGAAGAGGAACUUUCCAUGGUUUUGUAAAUUAUGGAACCACCAAGCAAGAAGACUAACACAUUAGAAAAUAAACAAGAUUAACAUAUCGAAGGUAAAAUUGAGAGGCCUAAAUGUGCUGACAUGGCAAUAUUUUUCACUAAGAACACAAAGAGUAGGCACAUGUGUGGGGAAAAAUUGCAGAUAGGUAGCUUCGGCAUAUAAACAGAAGAUAUCAUCCUUUACAAAUAAUUAGCAAUUGGAAGGCUGCUAUGUGAACCAUGAAUAUAUCAUAUAAAUACAUCGGAAGAGAAGGGAGCAUAGGAGGUAUUUCUUUCUGUUUCAUUAUCAGUUAGGAGUUAGUAUAACGAAAAAGAAACCAUCUGAAAAGGAAGGUAUGUAAGCUGAAAUAGCACACACAAGAGUAAAAAAAUAAGUAUGAGAGAAGGCAUGAAUGAACUAACCAAAUCUUGGAGGACUCCACCCAAAUCUCAAUCCCAUAUGUUUAAGACCUGCAUACAACAUAGGAAAGAAAUAGCUAAUUGGGAUUUAGAAAAUAAUAAGCACUGGCAGAAAUUAAAGAGUAGAACGCUUAAGGGUACAGGCAACAGGAAACAGAAAGUAUGUUAUAGGCAACAGGAAAUGCAAAGUAAGUCGCACAACAUGCAACGUUGUCCCAAUGAAGCAAACCCAUAGCCGGAAACACGUAUCUGUGAAGGAGAAUAUGAAUUAGUAACUAUUAAUGAUGGUGUAGGCAGGAGGCACAAAAUUCGGGAACUGUGAAACAUAAGAACAUGGAAGGCUAUAGGCAACGACAGAUGGUACCUGAACCUUGCAACACAAACUUUCUUCCAUAAUUAUUAGGAGACAUAUAUCUUACCAGGAAGACCAAUAUAGAAAUGAGAGUACCUAAGAGAUGGCACCGAGGUCGCUGAAUACCGGAGAAAAGGAACUUUCCAUGGUUAUGUAAAUCUAAGGACCAAACAAGGAAACCAAUACAUCAAGCACUAUGAAACAAAUGGGUAUUGGAUUAACCAACAUAGGUUUCCUGGAUUUAAAAAAAAUAGAAACCCAUACAGUUUUGUCUCCUAAGCUGUAAAAACAUGAUAAAGUACAUAAUUCUUGUUCAAUGAAUUAACAUGCCAAAAAAAUAAUUGUUGUUUAGUACUGAGGUUUUCUUUAGACAGUUAGAGCCUACAGUAUAAUAGAACUAAUGAACAUGAAACUCAUCUCGUUUCAAUUCAACAUACAGGUGUAUUUAUCACAAGCCAAUUCGAAAGCAUCAAAUCUCACAAAUUGCCAGCAUAAAUAUUUGGUAGUCUAAAUUAAAUAAUGGUCAUGCUAUUAUUGAUAGAUACCCUGAUUCAUACUAUAGAUAGAUAUCCUGAUUCAUACCUAUGCAUUUCAAUUCGUACUAUAGAUAGAUAUCCUCCUGGAAGGCUGGAAGACUGCAGUCAGUAGCAAGAUACCACACUGAGGCAAGAGGGAUGUCCCUAUACAGAGAAAAUACAUUAAGGAAUCAAUGCAUAUAUUUAAGUAAACAUAAACCCUGUUUGUAUCUUGAGAACAUGGAGAAGAGGGCAUGGUGAUGUUAUAUGUUGAGUGUAUGCCACGGCACAAAUAGAUUUUCUGAACCCUGCAACCAAAAGUUGGUCUCAGCAAUGUAACUGCAUAAAAAUUAGUUGUACUUUGGAACCUUAGUCCACUGCCACAUGAUGAAAACAAACAAAUCAAAAUUUUACAUGGCCAAACCAAGUUCAAAUCUUGGAGUUUGACAUUUUAUAAGCAAAUUCAAUAACCCAACCAGACCUAGCAUCCAGUUGAGGUCUGUUCUUUUACAGAACUAACUGCCCAAAUUAGCUUAUGUAGCUUAUAGAAAUUAGAACCUUGUGAUUGUAUGCCUCUUGGUGGAGAAACAUGAAUCCAACUUCUUGCAAGGGUAAAAGAAUACGAAUAUCCAUAUCGAAAAGCUAUAUACACGGUUGCAAAGUUAUACUCCAGAUUCCAGUGGCAUAGCUAAAAGCAAAAUAAUAUUUUAGAUAGGAAAGGCAUAUCCAUUGUAAGAACUAUAGAAUGGGAAUCAAAUAAGGAAAGGCAAUGCAUAUAUAUUUUAGAUAGGAAAGGCACAUCCAUUGUAAGAACUAUAGAAUGGGAAUCAAAUAAGGAAAGGCAAUGCAUAGCUUUAGUUUAGAAACCUAAAGGAAAAACCGACCCAGCAGUCCACCAAAUAAUAAAUCACCUUGGUAGCAAGGAACAACUGCAAAUACAUCUUUGGAAAUGAGAUGUGCUCAAUAAUAGGACAACCAAUAAACUGUGUGAAGCAAAGAUGUCAUAGACAAUGGACUUGUGCUCAUCAACAAAUGGGCAAAAUGUAGCAGCAGCAUGAGAAGCAUGUGAACGGAGUUUUUUUAGACGACAUGGAAAAACCACGGCCAAGCCAAUGACCUGUGUAGAGGUGGACCAAUAAGGAAAGCCGAAGUUGACCUGUCACCGAGGUGGACCAGCAAAAAAAUUUCGGGCGAUGUGGCCCCUAUGACUGCCCCGGGAGUGCUGACAGUUUGUUAGGGUAAAAAUACCGACUCCCGCUUUGAUAAGCAAAUGGACAAAAAUGUAGCAGCUAAUAGAAUGAUACUGUCAUCACAAAGCCAAUGAAAAUAGCUGGAUUUACACAACAACGAAGUAAUUAUAUAGUCAUCAUUGCACAAUUCUGUUGUCUCAAUCUACAAAAAGUUCAUCAUUGCACAACCCCAAACCUCAGUAGACAACAUGAAUGAACUAAUCAAUAAUCACUGUAUAAGCAGGAAGGAUAUCAGUCAGUGUGCAUAUGAUCUGCACAAUUAUAAAAACAAGAGAACUGCAGGAGAUGAUGGACCCGGCACCAAGAUCAGGGAAGCUACGUGGAGAAAAGGGGGGAGGACAAUAAAUAUAGGGUAAAAUCAAUGUUGCCUUACCGGAUUGCCUUAAUUAACAAGGAUUCACCCCCCCCCCCCCUCCAAAUCGCCCAUCGAAUGGAUAAAACGUGUACCUGGCAGAUUCACUGCAUAGAGUAAGGAGAGAGACAGAGAGGGGGAACAAACCUGCGAGCGGAUGGACCGAGGGAGAGCAGAGGCACGGUGACCGCCUGAGGUCACGCCGGGGGGAGGGGGAACGACCGGUGGGGGAAGGAAAGGGGGCUGUCCACGCUGGCAUGCCGCGAGGUGCGACCGCCUCGUGCCCGUCGCCACCUCGGGAUGGAAGGAGGGAGAGAGAGGAAGGGGAGAGAGAAAGGGAGGAUGCGUCAGCACCGCCCCGCAGCGUCAGAGGUGGUCGCCCCUUGCCGCCGAGACGACCACGUGCUGCGCCGCCGGCACCGCAACGUGGCGCACCCGUGCUGAUGCACCGGAAGGGGGCUGCGGCGGCCGCCGUGCCCUGCCCACGUCGGGGGAGAUGGAAGGAGCGAGAGGGAGAAGAAGAGGAGGAGGGCGCGCGGUGCUCCGGCGGCGGAGGGCGCCGUCGCCGCGCUCGCUUUUGCCUCGAGAGAGACCAAGGGAGAGAGAGAGGAUAGGGAGGGAGGAGAUAUUUUGGCUGAGCAUGUGGAUGAGGAGACGACGAGAAGCGUAGGGACGAAGCGGAGAGGACGGCUUCGGUAACCAAGCUGAGGUGGCUGAGGUGGACCAAUGGGAGGGGGAGGAGGUGACGUGGCGCCGAGCUGGACCAAUAAAAAAAAUUCAGGUGACGUGUAUAGCCUCCCUGCCCGUGUACCUGGCAGAUUCACUGCAUAGAGUAAGGAGAGAGACAGAGAGGGGGAAACAAACCUGCGAGCGGAUGGACCGAGGGAGAGCAGAGGCACGGUGACCGCCUGAGGUCACGCCGGGGGGAGGGGGGACGACCGGUGGGGAAAGGAAAGGGGGCUGUCCGCGCUGGCACGCCGCGAGGCGCGACCGCCUCGUGCCCGUCGCCACCUCGGGAUGGAAGGAGGGAGAGAGAGGAAGGGGAGAGAGAAAGGGAGGAUGCGUCGGCACCGCCCCGCAGCGUCAGAGGUGGUCGCCCCUCGCCGCCGAGACGACCACGUGCUGCGCCGCCGGCACCGCAACGUGGCGCACCCGUGCUGAUGCACCGGAAGGGGGCUGCGGCGGCCGCAGUGCCCUGCCCACGUCGGGGGAGAUGGAAGGAGCGAGAGGGAGAAGAAGAGGAGGAGGGCGCGCGGUGCUCCGGCGGCGGAAGGCGCCGUCGCCGCGCUCGCUUUCGCCUCGAGAGAGACCGAGGGAGAGAGAGAGGAUAGGGAGGGAGGAGAUAUUUUGGCUGAGCAUGUGGAUGAGGAGACGACGAGGGACGAAGCGGAGAGGACGGCUUCGGUGACCAAGCU